This 497-nucleotide ribosomal RNA is filed under the name uncultured bacterium. RNAcentral describes it as "partial 16S ribosomal RNA". It matches the Rfam family "Bacterial small subunit ribosomal RNA", at positions 28 to 507 of the family's 1533-position model. The record is from RNAcentral.
GAUGAACGCUGGCGGCGUGCCUAAUACAUGCAAGUCGAGCGAACGGACGAGAAGCUUGCUUCUCUGAUGUUAGCGGCGGACGGGUGAGUAACACGUGGAUAACCUACCUAUAAGACUGGGAUAACUUCGGGAAACCGUAGCUAAUACCGGAUAAUAUUUUGAACCGCAUGGUUCAAAAGUGAAAGACGGUCUUGCUGUCACUUAUAGAUGGAUCCGCGCUGCAUUAGCUAGUUGGUAAGGUAACGGCUUACCAAGGCAACGAUGCAUAGCCGACCUGAGAGGGUGAUCGGCCACACUGGAGCUGAGACGCGGUCCAGACUCCUACGGGAGGCAGCAGUAGGGAAUCUUCCGCAAUGGGCGAAAGCCUGACGGAGCAACGCCGCGUGAGUGAUGAAGGUCUUCGGAUCGUAAAACUCUGUUAUUAGGGAAGAACAUAUGUGUAAGUAACUGUGCACAUCUUGACGGUACCUAAUCAGAAAGCCACGGCUAACUACGUG